This 103-nucleotide non-coding RNA is filed under the name Sporosarcina sp. Its description in RNAcentral is "TPP sequence". It matches the Rfam family "TPP riboswitch aptamer (THI element)". Rfam says of the family: Vitamin B(1) in its active form thiamin pyrophosphate (TPP) is an essential coenzyme that is synthesised by coupling of pyrimidine and thiazole moieties in bacteria. The previously detected thiamin-regulatory element, thi box was extended, resulting in a new, highly conserved RNA secondary structure, the THI element, which is widely distributed in eubacteria and also occurs in some archaea. Analysis of operon structures identified a large number of new candidate thiamin-regulated genes, mostly transporters, in various prokaryotic organisms. Lineage: Bacteria; Bacillati; Bacillota; Bacilli; Caryophanales; Caryophanaceae. RNAcentral also lists the same sequence under 1 other name. The record is from RNAcentral.
AGUAGCCACUGGGGGAGUCUUUAUGAUUGGACUGAGACGCAUGUUGCGAACCCUUUGAACCUGAUCUGGUCAUACCAGCGUAGGAAAGUGGGCCGCAGAGUAA